This 540-nucleotide ribosomal RNA is filed under the name uncultured bacterium. Its description in RNAcentral is "bacterial SSU rRNA". It matches the Rfam family "Bacterial small subunit ribosomal RNA", at positions 193 to 753 of the family's 1533-position model. The record is from RNAcentral.
CCUACGGGGGAAAGAUUUAUCGGGGAAGGAUUGGCCCGCGUUGGAUUAGCUAGUUGGUGGGGUAAAGGCCUACCAAGGCGACGAUCCAUAGCUGGUCUGAGAGGAUGAUCAGCCACAUUGGGACUGAGACACGGCCCAAACUCCUACGGGAGGCAGCAGUGGGGAAUAUUGGACAAUGGGCGCAAGCCUGAUCCAGCCAUGCCGCGUGAGUGAUGAAGGCCUUAGGGUUGUAAAGCUCUUUCACCGAUGAAGAUAAUGACGGUAGUCGGAGAAGAAGCCCCGGCUAACUUUGUGCCAGCAGCCGCGGUAAUACGAAGGGGGCUAGCGUUGUUUGGAAUUACUGGGCGUAAAGCGCACGUAGGCGGAUAUUUAAGUCAGGGGUGAAAUCCCAGAGCUCAACUCUGGAACUGCCUUUGAUACUGGGUAUCUUGAGUAUGGAAGAGGUAAGUGGAAUUGCGAGUGUAGAGGUGAAAUUCGUAGAUAUUCGCAGGAACACCAGUGGCGAAGGCGGCUCACUGGUCCGGUACUGACGCUGAGGUG